RNAcentral lists this ribosomal RNA (460 nucleotides) under uncultured bacterium. RNAcentral's name for it is "partial 16S ribosomal RNA". It matches the Rfam family "Bacterial small subunit ribosomal RNA", at positions 338 to 795 of the family's 1533-position model. The record is from RNAcentral.
CCUACGGGAGGCAGCAGUGAGGAAUAUUGGUCAAUGGGCGCUAGCCUGAACCAGCCAAGUAGCGUGAAGGAUGACUGCCCUAUGGGUUGUAAACUUCUUUUAUAUGGGAAUAAAGUGCAGUAUGUAUACUGCUUUGCAUGUACCUUAUGAAUAAGGCUCGGCUAACUCCGUGCCAGCAGCCGCGGUACUACGGAGGAUCCGAGCGUUAUCCGGAUUUAUUGGGUUUAAAGGGAGCGUAGGCGGGUUGUUAAGUCAGUUGUGAAAGGUUGGGGCUCAACCGUAAAAUUGCAGUUGAUACUGGCAGCAGUGAGUACAGUAGAGGUAGGUAGAAGUCGAGGUGUAGCGGUGAAAUGCGUAGAGAUCACGAAGAACUCCGAUUGCGAAGGCAGCCUGCUGGACUGUAACUGACGCUGAGGCGCGAAAGUGUGGGUAUCAAACAGGAUUAGAUACCCCAGUAGUC